RNAcentral lists this long non-coding RNA (232 nucleotides) under Salvia miltiorrhiza (redroot sage). Its description in RNAcentral is "long non-coding RNA (SMIL_LNC003194)". Lineage: Eukaryota; Viridiplantae; Streptophyta; Magnoliopsida; Lamiales; Lamiaceae. The record is from RNAcentral.
AAUCCAAAAUAAUAGUAUUAUACAUACUCCACCAAAUUCAAGGUUGCCUCCACCAGUUGUAAUUCUAAUUAUUCAUAGGAACUUAGUCGCAGAUGAAGUAAAUAAACUUACAGCCACCACAACAUAAACAUCACUAUUCACUGUGAUGCAAGGCAGGCUUAAUGCAGAUCUCAACACACUUCAAAGAUCAGAGGAUUCAUUCAUCCACUAGAUGUGAGAUUCUGGAAAUUUA